RNAcentral lists this long non-coding RNA (291 nucleotides) under Brachypodium distachyon (stiff brome). RNAcentral's name for it is "long non-coding RNA (BDIS_LNC000399)". Lineage: Eukaryota; Viridiplantae; Streptophyta; Magnoliopsida; Poales; Poaceae. The record is from RNAcentral.
CCGGUCCGGUUUCCCCUUUGUUUUUUCCUUAUAGCCUUUUCUUUUUCUAUUUUUCUCAUUUCUUUGAUAACUUUUGAUUUUGAACUCCAAAUUGGUCCAAAUAAGUUUCAGAAAAUUUGUAAUCAUGUUCUACCAUGAUACAACUUUUGGGAGUAGUUUCCCCCCAAAAUAAAAUGCAUAAAAAUACAUUUGCCCUAUAAAUGCCUUUAAGGCUAUGUAUCUAUUCAAAUAAAAUACUUUUUCAACUCCAAAUAAUUAUACAAUAAUUAUGGGAUAGCUUAUAUAUGCAUU